This 741-nucleotide ribosomal RNA is filed under the name uncultured bacterium. Its description in RNAcentral is "bacterial SSU rRNA". It matches the Rfam family "Bacterial small subunit ribosomal RNA", at positions 94 to 823 of the family's 1533-position model. The record is from RNAcentral.
AGCGGCGGACGGGUGAGUAACACGUGGGUAACCUGCCCAAGAGACUGGGAUAACACCUGGAAACAGAUGCUAAUACCGGAUAACAACACUAGACGCAUGUCUAGAGUUUGAAAGAUGGUUCUGCUAUCACUCUUGGAUGGACCUGCGGUGCAUUAGCUAGUUGGUAAGGUAACGGCUUACCAAGGCAAUGAUGCAUAGCCGAGUUGAGAGACUGAUCGGCCACAUUGGGACUGAGACACGGCCCAAACUCCUACGGGAGGCAGCAGUAGGGAAUCUUCCACAAUGGACGAAAGUCUGAUGGAGCAACGCCGCGUGAGUGAAGAAGGGUUUCGGCUCGUAAAGCUCUGUUGGUAGUGAAGAAAGAUAGAGGUAGUAACUGGCCUUUAUUUGACGGUAAUUACUUAGAAAGUCACGGCUAACUACGUGCCAGCAGCCGCGGUAAUACGUAGGUGGCAAGCGUUGUCCGGAUUUAUUGGGCGUAAAGCGAGUGCAGGCGGUUCAAUAAGUCUGAUGUGAAAGCCUUCGGCUCAACCGGAGAAUUGCAUCAGAAACUGUUGAACUUGAGUGCAGAAGAGGAGAGUGGAACUCCAUGUGUAGCGGUGGAAUGCGUAGAUAUAUGGAAGAACACCAGUGGCGAAGCGGCUCUCUGGUCUGCAACUGACGCUGAGGCUCGAAAGCAUGGGUAGCGAACAGGAUUAGAUACCCUGGGUAGUCCAUGCCGUAACGAUGAGUGCUAAGUGU